CCUACGGGUGGCAGCAGUGGGGGAUAUUGCACAAUGGGCGAAAGCCUGAUGCAGCGACGCCGCGUGAGGGAAGACGGUCUUCGGAUUUUACACCUCUUUCUUUGGGGAAGAAAAUUACGGUACCCAAAGAGUAAGCUCCGGCUAAAUACGUGCCAGCAGCCGCGGUAAUACGUAGGCAGCAGGCGUUGUCCGGAAUUACUGGGUGUAAAGGGAGCGUAGGCGGGAUGGCAAGUAGAAUGUUAAUUCCAUGGCCUAAACCGGUGUCUGCGUUCUAAACUGGCGUUCUUGAGUGAAGUAGAGGCAGGCGGAAUUCCUAGUGUAGCGGUGAAAUGCGUAGAUAUUAGGAGGAACACCAGUGGCGAAGGCGGCCUGCUGGGCUUUAACUGACGCUGAGGCUCGAAAGCGUGGGGAGCAAACAGGAUUAGAUACCCCUGUAGUC
This 439-nucleotide ribosomal RNA is filed under the name uncultured bacterium. RNAcentral describes it as "partial 16S ribosomal RNA". It matches the Rfam family "Bacterial small subunit ribosomal RNA", at positions 338 to 795 of the family's 1533-position model. The record is from RNAcentral.